AAUCAACGCUGGCGGCGUGCCUAACACAUGCAAGUCGAACGCGAGAAUCCCGAAAGGGAUCAGUAGAGUGGCAAACGGGUGAGUAACACGUGGGUGACCUGCCUUCGAGUGGGGGAUAACGUCCCGAAAGGGACGCUAAUACCGCAUGACAUCCUGCUCUUGAACGAGUGGAGAUCAAAGCUGGGGAUCGCAAGACCCAGCGCUCAAAGAGGGGCCCNCGCCUGAUAGCUAGUUGGUGGGGUAACGGCUCACCAAGGCAACGAUCAGUAUCCGGCCUGAGAGGGCGGACGGACACACUGGGACUGAGACACGGCCCAGACUCCUACGGGA
RNAcentral lists this ribosomal RNA (330 nucleotides) under uncultured bacterium. RNAcentral's name for it is "bacterial SSU rRNA". It matches the Rfam family "Bacterial small subunit ribosomal RNA", at positions 32 to 346 of the family's 1533-position model. The record is from RNAcentral.